GCUACGGGUGGCAGCAGUGGGGAAUAUUGCACAAUGGGGGAAACCCUGAUGCAGCGACGCCGCGUGAGUGAAGAAGUAGCUCGGUAUGUAAAGCUCUAUCAGCAGGGAAGAAAAUGACGGUACCGGACUAAGAAGCCCCGGCGAACUACGUGCCAGCAGCCGCGGUAAUACGUAGGGGGCAAGCGUUAUCCGGAUUUACUGGGUGUAAAGGGAGCGUAGACGGCGCUGCAAGUCCGGAGUGAAAGCCCAUGGCUUAACCAUGGUACUGCUCUGGAAACUGUGGAGCUUGAGUGCGGGAGGGGCAGGCUGACUUCCUAGUGUAGCGGUGAACUGCGUAGAUAUUAGGCGGACCCCCGGCGGCGAAGGCGGCCUGCUGGACCGUAACUGCCGUUGCGGCUCGAACGCGUGGGGAGCAAACAGGAUUAGAUACCCGAGUAGUC
This 440-nucleotide ribosomal RNA is filed under the name uncultured bacterium. Its description in RNAcentral is "partial 16S ribosomal RNA". It matches the Rfam family "Bacterial small subunit ribosomal RNA", at positions 338 to 795 of the family's 1533-position model. The record is from RNAcentral.